Patella vulgata (common limpet) is the source of this 365-nucleotide long non-coding RNA. RefSeq lists it as uncharacterized. The transcript has 3 exons. NCBI's taxonomy places the organism in Eukaryota, Metazoa, Mollusca, Gastropoda, Patellidae. The record is from RefSeq and is a predicted model, not a curated record.
CCAAACGCCGCUAGAGGCGCUGGCUGUCCUAUUAUUGGUGUGCUAAAAAACCUGACCGAAAAAUGUACCGUUUCUACUACGGGGUCUCAUGAAUAUUCAGGAAGUCAAAACGUGGUCACGUGGCACUUUUCCGGAACCUGGUGAGCUGUAGUUAGCGGACUGCCAUAGCAGCUUAUAUUUACUAUGGAAGAAGAGUAUUCACAACCAUUAUUCAUAACAGAUUCUGAGGAGAGUGAAAAAGAAAUUGGAGAAAGUGAAUCUCAAGCACAGACGCAAGCUCCAAGAUUCAUGCCACUUUUCACUCCACGCUUUAGUUCUGAGAAUACAGAUUCUGAUGACCAAAGUUUAAAAAUUCCAGAAAAGGU